GAGAGCAGUAUUGCUAAGGGCCCUGGGAUGGGUGUAAGUAGCGCAACCUGACACAGAUACCACCACAGCGGCAGUGUGCCAGGCUUAUCACCUCCACCCCACGAUAAUAUGUGCCGUUUUCGAAACACAACUAUGUGAUUCUGGUGAUAUCUACUACUUCAAUGCGAGUCUUUCUACCACAAAGCAUUCACGAGUGGAACGCGGUGGAACGCAUUUGUCAUCCCGCGAUGACCGGAAGUGAUGUUCAAAACAUCGUCAUGAGAGACGCGCUGAUACGCUGAUGUCACUUCCGGUAAUACCGGAAGCCGUGCGCCGGAACUCUACUCGCGGUGACACGCAGAUGUGGUUCUCUAUCACCAGGAAGUAAUGUAAUAGAAAAUAAAGGAUUGUUGCCUCUA
Long non-coding RNA from Pseudophryne corroboree (corroboree frog), 398 nucleotides. RefSeq lists it as uncharacterized. The transcript has 2 exons. The record is from RefSeq and is a predicted model, not a curated record. Lineage: Eukaryota; Metazoa; Chordata; Amphibia; Anura; Myobatrachidae.